Long non-coding RNA from Brassica napus (rape), 756 nucleotides. RefSeq lists it as uncharacterized. NCBI's taxonomy places the organism in Eukaryota, Viridiplantae, Streptophyta, Magnoliopsida, Brassicales, Brassicaceae. The transcript is spliced from 3 exons. The record is from RefSeq and is a predicted model, not a curated record.
AACUAAAUCCAAUGACCAAUAAUGAACAAACUGAAAAUAUGUUUCUUCCUAUCCUCCCAUUCUCCUAUCCUCCGUAUUCUCUCUUUUUUUUUUCUAUCUUCCUCAUCCUUACACAAAAUCACCAUAAACAAAAUCUUUCACAACCACCAUCACCAUAACCUCCGACGCCGCCAUCUCUAUCUCCUCAUUCUCUACCUCCGUUGCUUCCACCAUCAUCUUUAUCUCCACCUCCUCGUUCUCUACCUCCGCCAAUGAACUCUGUCUCAACCACUCUUUUUAUCUAUCCUCUUCUAAAAGCUUCUUCUUUUCCAGAUGCAUAUUCAUGGUCUUAGUUAACACCAACUGUAUCUCAGGGACGGGGAAGAGGAAGUGGAAUUGAUAAUGGGGCUGGUGGUUGCUCUUAUUCUCGUAGUGUCACAACAUUGAAGGGAAGAAGCUGGAUAUGAAGAAGAUGUGCUAGUGGAGAUGGAGCCGAGCUAGAAGAAGAAAAAGAGAGAGAGAGGGAGCAGACAAAGACGUAAGGAAGACGAAGAAGAUGGAAGAGGACGACGGUGACGACAGGAUACACGAUGGGAGGAAGGCAGCGGCGUAGAUUAGGUUUAGUUUUGGUUAGUUUAUUAGGUUUGGUUUAGAUAUGGUUAAUUUAAUAAGGCGGGUUUGUGUGUAAACCAAUGUUAAUAAAUAAACUGAUAUUAGUUGUAAACCAAUUCUUUGUAUACUGAUUUUAAUUAAUAAAUAAAAAUUAAUUUUUAAUUA